This 484-nucleotide ribosomal RNA is filed under the name uncultured bacterium. Its description in RNAcentral is "partial 16S ribosomal RNA". It matches the Rfam family "Bacterial small subunit ribosomal RNA", at positions 30 to 507 of the family's 1533-position model. The record is from RNAcentral.
AUUGAACGCUGGCGGCAGGCCUAACACAUGCAAGUCGAGCGGAUGAAGGGAGCUUGCUUCUGGAUUCAGCGGCGGACGGGGGAGUAAUGCCUAGGAAUCUGCCUGGUAGUGGGGGAUAACGUCCGGAAACGGGCGCUAAUACCGCAUACGUCCUGCGGGAGAAAGUGGGGGAGCUUCGGAACUCACGCUAUCAGAUGAGCCUAGGUCGGAUUAGCUAGUUGGUGGGGUAAAGGCCUACCAAGGCGACGAUCCGUAACUGGUCUGAGAGGAUGGUCAGUCACAUUGGAACUGAGACAGGGACAAGGGUCCUACGGGAGGGAGCAGUGGGGAAUAUUGGACAAUGGGGGGAAGCAUGAUCCAGUCAUGCCGAGUGUGUGAAGAAGGUCUUGGGAGUGUAAAGCACUUUAAGUUGGGAGGAAGGGCAGUAAGUUAAGACCUUGCUGUUUUGACGUUAACAACAGAAUAAGCACCGGCUAACUUCGUG